This 337-nucleotide unclassified non-coding RNA is filed under the name soil metagenome. Its description in RNAcentral is "partial contains 5.8S ribosomal RNA, internal transcribed spacer 2, and large subunit ribosomal RNA". The stretch from base 1 to 120 matches the Rfam family "5.8S ribosomal RNA", at positions 35 to 154 of the family's 154-position model. The record is from RNAcentral.
GAUGAAGAACGCAGCGAAAUGCGAUAAGUAGUGUGAAUUGCAGAAUUCAGUGAAUCAUCGAAUCUUUGAACGCACAUUGCGCCCCUUGGUAUUCCAUGGGGCAUGCCUGUUCGAGCGUCAUUUUUACCUUCAAGCUCUGCUUGGUGUUGGGUGUUUGUCUCGCCUCUGCGUGUAGACUCGCCUCAAAACAAUUGGCAGCCGGCGUAUUGAUUUCGGAGCGCAGUACAUCUCGCGCUUUGCACUCAUAACGACGACGUCCAAAAGUACAUUUUUACACUCUUGACCUCGGAUCAGGUAGGGAUACCCGCUGAACUUAAGCAUAUCAAUAAGCGGAGGA